UCGUUGCUCGGCAAGGUUUUCCGCGGCGGCGCCGACGUCGGGGAGGUGCUGGCGACCAUCGCCACGGUCGCGCCGGGCGAUCGCGACGGC
This 90-nucleotide transfer RNA is filed under the name Nocardia farcinica. RNAcentral describes it as "tRNA-Gly(gcc)". The record is from RNAcentral. Lineage: Bacteria; Bacillati; Actinomycetota; Actinomycetes; Mycobacteriales; Nocardiaceae.